This 444-nucleotide ribosomal RNA is filed under the name uncultured bacterium. Its description in RNAcentral is "bacterial SSU rRNA". It matches the Rfam family "Bacterial small subunit ribosomal RNA", at positions 331 to 792 of the family's 1533-position model. The record is from RNAcentral.
CCAGACUCCUACGGGAGGCAGCAGUGGGGAAUAUUGCACAAUGGGGGAAACCCUGAUGCAGCGACGCCGCGUGAAGGACGAAGUAUUUCGGUACGUAAACUUCUAUCAGCAGGGAAGAAAAUGACGGUACCUGACCAAGAAGCCCCGGCUAACUACGUGCCAGCAGCCGCGGUAAUACGUAGGGGGCAAGCGUUAUCCGGAUUUACUGGGUGUAAAGGGAGCGUAGACGGCCAUGCAAGUCUGAUGUGAAAACCCGGGGCUCAACCCCGGGACUGCAUUGGAAACUGUGCGGCUGGAGUGUCGGAGAGGCAAGUGGAAUUCCUAGUGUAGCGGUGAAAUGCGUAGAUAUUAGGAGGAACACCAGUGGCGAAGGCGGCUUACUGGACUGUAACUGACGUUGAGGCUCGAAAGCGUGGGGAGCAAACAGGAUUAGAUACCCUUGUA